RNAcentral lists this ribosomal RNA (327 nucleotides) under uncultured eukaryote. RNAcentral's name for it is "partial 18S ribosomal RNA". It matches the Rfam family "Eukaryotic small subunit ribosomal RNA", at positions 1470 to 1796 of the family's 1831-position model. The record is from RNAcentral.
CCCUUAGAUGUCCUGGGCUGCACGCGCGCUACACUGAUGUGUCCAGUAAGCACCUAACCUCUUCCGAAAGGAACGGGUAACCUUUGCAAAGCACAUCGUGAUGGGGAUAGAUUAUUGCAAUUAUUAGUCUUGAACGAGGAAUUCCUAGUAAGCACAAGUCAUCAGCUUGUGUUGAUUACGUCCCUGCCCUUUGUACACACCGCCCGUCGCUCCUACCGAUUGAAUGUGCCAGUGAAAAGUUCGGAUUGGAGAUAGGAGACGGCAACGUAUCCUAUUUCCGAGAAAAUCUUUAAACUUUCCCAUUUAGAGGAAGGAGAAGUCGUAACA